RNAcentral lists this ribosomal RNA (893 nucleotides) under uncultured organism. RNAcentral describes it as "bacterial SSU rRNA". It matches the Rfam family "Bacterial small subunit ribosomal RNA", at positions 1 to 916 of the family's 1533-position model. The record is from RNAcentral.
UAGAGUUUGAUCCUGGCUCAGGAUGAACGCUGGCGGCGUGCUUAACACAUGCAAGUCGAACGGUGAAGCCUGCUAUUUAUAGUGGGUGGAUCAGUGGCGGACUGGUGAGUAACACGUAGGUGACCUGCCCCAAAGAGGAGAAUAACUUGACGAAAGUGAAGCUAAUACUCCAUGUGGUCAAUCAUUCGGUUGAUUGAUUAAAGCUAAGGCGCUUUGGGAGGGGCUUGCGGCCCAUCAGCUAGUUGGUAGGGUAAAGGCCUACCAAGGCGAAGACGGGUAGCUGGUCUGAGAGGACGAUCAGCCACAAUGGCACUGAAACACGGGCCAUACUCCUACGGGAGGCAGCAGUGAGGAAUAUUGCACAAUCGACGCAAGUCGGAUGCAGCAACGCCGCGUGGACGAUGAAGGCCUUCGGGUUGUAAAGUCCUUUUAAGAGGGACGAGGAAGGACGGUACCUCUUGAAUAAGUCUCGGCUAACUACGUGCCAGCAGCCGCGGUAACACGUAGGAGGCGAGCGUUAUCCGGAUUUAUUGGGCGUAAAGCGCAUGCAGGUGGCUAGGUAAGUCGGGUGUGAAAGCCCCGGACUUAAUCCGGGGAGGUCAUUCGAUACUGCUUGGCUUGAGAGCGGGAGAGGGAAGUGGAAUUCUCGGUGUAGUGGUGAUAUGCGUAGAUAUCGAGAGGAACACCAGUGGCGAAGGCGGCUUCCUGGCCCGUAUCUGACACUAAGAUGCGAAAGCGUGGGUAGCAAACGGACUUAGAUACUCCGGUAGUCCACGCUGUAAACGAUGGGUACUAGGUGUAGGGGGUGUAAAACUCUCUGUGCCAUAGUUAACGCACUAAGUACCCCGCCUGGGGACUACGGUCGCAAGGCUAAAACUCAAAGGAAUUGACGG